Molecule: ribosomal RNA, 468 nt
Filed under: uncultured bacterium
Lineage: Bacteria
Description: partial 16S ribosomal RNA
Rfam family: Bacterial small subunit ribosomal RNA
Source: RNAcentral
GACGAACGCUGGCGGCGUGCUUAACACAUGCAAGUCGAACGGAAAGGCCCUGCUUUUGUGGGGUGCUCGAGUGGCGAACGGGUGAGUAACACGUGAGUAACCUGCCCUUGACUUUGGGAUAACUUCAGGAAACUGGGGCUAAUACCGGAUAGGAGCUCCUGCUGCAUGGUGGGGGUUGGAAAGUUUCGGCGGUUGGGGAUGGACUCGCGGCUUAUCAGCUUGUUGGUGGGGUAGUGGCUUACCAAGGCUUUGACGGGUAGCCGGCCUGAGAGGGUGACCGGCCACAUUGGGACUGAGAUACGGCCCAGUCUCCUACGGGAGGCAGCAGUGGGGAAUAUUGCACAAUGGGCGGAAGCCUGAUGCAGCAACGCCGCGUGCGGGAUGACGGCCUUCGGGUUGUAAACCGCUUUCGCCUGUGACGAAGCGUGGGUGACGGUAAUGGGUAAAGAAGCACCGGCUAACUACGUG